Molecule: ribosomal RNA, 757 nt
Filed under: Talaromyces funiculosus
Lineage: Eukaryota; Fungi; Ascomycota; Eurotiomycetes; Eurotiales; Trichocomaceae
Description: SSU rRNA
Rfam family: Eukaryotic small subunit ribosomal RNA
Source: RNAcentral
CGGUCCGCCUCACCGCGAGUACUGGUCCGGAUGGGCCUUUCUUUCUGGGGAAUCCCAUGGCCUUCACUGGCUGUGGCGGGGAACCAGGACUUUUACUGUGAAAAAAUUAGAGUGUUCAAAGCAGGCCUUUGCUCGGAUACAUUAGCAUGGAAUAAUAGAAUAGGACGUGCGGUUCUAUUUUGUUGGUUUCUAGGACCGCCGUAAUGAUUAAUAGGGAUAGUCGGGGGCGUCAGUAUUCAGCUGUCAGAGGUGAAAUUCUUGGAUUUGCUGAAGACUAACUACUGCGAAAGCAUUCGCCAAGGAUGUUUUCAUUAAUCAGGGAACGAAAGUUAGGGGAUCGAAGACGAUCAGAUACCGUCGUAGUCUUAACCAUAAACUAUGCCGACUAGGGAUCGGGCGGGGUUUCUAUGAUGACCCGCUCGGCACCUUACGAGAAAUCAAAGUUUUUGGGUUCUGGGGGGAGUAUGGUCGCAAGGCUGAAACUUAAAGAAAUUGACGGAAGGGCACCACGGAGCCUGCGGCUUAAUUUGACUCAACACGGGGAAACUCACCAGGUCCAGACAAAAUAAGGAUUGACAGAUUGAGAGCUCUUUCUUGAUCUUUUGGAUGGUGGUGCAUGGCCGUUCUUAGUUGGUGGAGUGAUUUGUCUGCUUAAUUGCGAUAACGAACGAGACCUCGGCCCUUAAAUAGCCCGGUCCGCGUUUGCGGGCCGCUGGCUUCUUAGGGGGAGCUCAAGCCGAUGGAAGUACGUGGCAAU